UCCAGAGUUUGAUCAUGGCUCAGGACGAACGCUGGCGGCGUGCUUAACACAUGCAAGUCGAGCGGAAAGGCCCUUCGGGGUACUCGAGCGGCGAACGGGUGAGUAACACGUGAGUAACCUGCCCCAGACUUUGGGAUAACCUUCGGAAACGGAGGCUAAUACCGAAUACGACGUGCCACCGCAUGGUGUGUCCGUGGAAAGUUUUUCGGUUUGGGAUGGACUCGCGGCCUAUCAGCUUGUUGGUGGGGUAAUGGCCUACCAAGGCGACGACGGGUAGCCGGCCUGAGAGGGCGACCGGCCACACUGGGACUGAGACACGGCCCAGACUCCUACGGGAGGCAGCAGUGGGGAAUAUUGCACAAUGGGCGGAAGCCUGAUGCAGCGACGCCGCGUGAGGGAUGACGGCCUUCGGGUUGUAAACCUCUUUCAGCAGGGACGAAGCGCAAGUGACGGUACCUGCAGAAGAAGCGCCGGCCAAUCUACGUGCCAGCAGCCGCGGUAAGACGUAGGGCGCGAGCGUUGUCCGGAUUUAUUGGGCGUAAAGAGCUCGUAGGCGGCUUGUCGCGUCGAAUGUGAAAACUCGGGGCUCAACUCCGAGCUUGCAUUCGAUACGGGCAGGCUAGAGUUCGGUAGGGGAGACUGGAAUUCCUGGUGUAGCGGUGAAAUGCGCAGAUAUCAGGAGGAACACCGGUGGCGAAGGCGGGUCUCUGGGCCGAUACUGACGCUGAGGAGCGAAAGCGUGGGGAGCGAACAGGAUUAGAUACCCUGGUAGUCCACGCUGUAAACGUUGGGCGCUAGGUGUGGGGGACCUCUCCGGUCUUCUGCGCCGCAGCUAACGCA
Molecule: ribosomal RNA, 840 nt
Filed under: Actinoplanes palleronii
Lineage: Bacteria; Bacillati; Actinomycetota; Actinomycetes; Micromonosporales; Micromonosporaceae
Description: bacterial SSU rRNA
Rfam family: Bacterial small subunit ribosomal RNA
Source: RNAcentral